RNAcentral lists this ribosomal RNA (914 nucleotides) under Aspergillus tamarii. RNAcentral's name for it is "LSU rRNA". It matches the Rfam family "Eukaryotic large subunit ribosomal RNA", at positions 38 to 967 of the family's 3401-position model. Lineage: Eukaryota; Fungi; Ascomycota; Eurotiomycetes; Eurotiales; Aspergillaceae. The record is from RNAcentral.
GCAUAUCAAUAAGCGGAGGAAAAGAAACCAACCGGGAUUGCCUCAGUAACGGCGAGUGAAGCGGCAAGAGCUCAAAUUUGAAAGCUGGCUCCUUCGGGGUCCGCAUUGUAAUUUGCAGAGGAUGCUUCGGGUGCGGCCCCUGUCUAAGUGCCCUGGAACGGGCCGUCAGAGAGGGUGAGAAUCCCGUCUGGGAUGGGGUGUCCGCGCCCGUGUGAAGCUCCUUCGACGAGUCGAGUUGUUUGGGAAUGCAGCUCUAAAUGGGUGGUAAAUUUCAUCUAAAGCUAAAUACUGGCCGGAGACCGAUAGCGCACAAGUAGAGUGAUCGAAAGAUGAAAAGCACUUUGAAAAGAGAGUUAAAAAGCACGUGAAAUUGUUGAAAGGGAAGCGCUUGCGACCAGACUCGCCUCCAGGGUUCAGCCGGCAUUCGUGCCGGUGUACUUCCCUGGGGGCGGGCCAGCGUCGGUUUGGGCGGCCGGUCAAAGGCUCCCGGAAUGUAGUGCCCUUCGGGGCACCUUAUAGCCGGGAGUGCAAUGCGGCCAGCCUGGACCGAGGAACGCGCUUCGGCACGGACGCUGGCAUAAUGGUCGCAAACGACCCGUCUUGAAACACGGACCAAGGAGUCUAACAUCUACGCGAGUGUUCGGGUGUCAAACCCGUACGCGCAGUGAAAGCGAACGGAGGUGGGAGCCCCCUCGCGGGGCGCACCAUCGACCGAUCCUGAUGUCUUCGGAUGGAUUUGAGUAAGAGCGUAAAUGUGGGGACCCGAAAGAUGGUGAACUAUGCCUGAAUAGGGCGAAGCCAGAGGAAACUCUGGUGGAGGCUCGCAGCGGUUCUGACGUGCAAAUCGAUCGUCAAAUUUGGGUAUAGGGGCGAAAGACUAAUCGAACCAUCUAGUAGCUGGUUCCUGCCGAAGU